This 37-nucleotide ribosomal RNA is filed under the name Caamembeca autranii. RNAcentral describes it as "partial 18S ribosomal RNA". Lineage: Eukaryota; Viridiplantae; Streptophyta; Magnoliopsida; Fabales; Polygalaceae. The record is from RNAcentral.
GUUUUCCGUAGGUGAACCUGCGGAAGGAUCAUUGUCG